GACGAACGCUGGCGGCGUGCUUAACACAUGCAAGUCGAACGAUGAAGCCUAGCUUGCUAGGUGGAUUAGUGGCGAACGGGUGAGUAAUACGUGAGUAACCUACCUUUAACUCUGGGAUAAGCCUGGGAAACUGGGUCUAAUACCGGAUACGACCAAUCUCCGCACGGGGUGUUGGUGGAAAGCGUUCUGUGGUGGUUAUAGAUGGGCUCACGGCCUAUCAGCUUGUUGGUGGGGUAACGGCUCACCAAGGCGACGACGGGUAGCCGGCCUGAGAGGGUGACCGGCCACACUGGGACUGAGACACGGCCCAGACUCCUACGGGAGGCAGCAGUGGGGAAUAUUGCACAAUGGGCGCAAGCCUGAUGCAGCGACGCCGCGUGAGGGAUGACGGCCUUCGGGUUGUAAACCUCUGUUAGCAGGGAAGAAGAGAAAUUGACGGUACCUGCAGAGAAAGCGCCGGCUAACUACGUG
RNAcentral lists this ribosomal RNA (471 nucleotides) under uncultured bacterium. RNAcentral's name for it is "partial 16S ribosomal RNA". It matches the Rfam family "Bacterial small subunit ribosomal RNA", at positions 28 to 507 of the family's 1533-position model. The record is from RNAcentral.